This 253-nucleotide ribosomal RNA is filed under the name uncultured bacterium. RNAcentral describes it as "partial 16S ribosomal RNA". It matches the Rfam family "Bacterial small subunit ribosomal RNA", at positions 524 to 776 of the family's 1533-position model. The record is from RNAcentral.
CACGUAGGGUGCGAGCGUUGUCCGGAAUUAUUGGGCGUAAAGAGCUCGUAGGCGGUUUGUCGCGUCGGGAGUGAAAUCCACUGGCUUAACUGGUGGCUUGCUUUCGAUACGGGCAGACUGGAGGUAUGCAGGGGAGAACGGAAUUCCUGGUGUAGCGGUGAAAUGCGCAGAUAUCAGGAGGAACACCGGUGGCGAAGGCGGUUCUCUGGGCAUGUCCUGACGCUGAGGAGCGAAAGCCAGGGGAGCAAACGGG